Molecule: non-coding RNA, 110 nt
Organism: Vicugna pacos (alpaca)
Lineage: Eukaryota; Metazoa; Chordata; Mammalia; Artiodactyla; Camelidae
Source: RefSeq, a predicted model, not a curated record
UCUUCCGAUCCCCCUGAUUUGUCCAUUUGUACAAAGCUUGCUCCUAAUUAGUGAACUUUUGUUAUACCUUAUUUGCAUAUGAUGUUGCAAAGUGUAAACUGGCAGCUUAU